CAAGCAUAGGGGUAAUCCACACUCUAAUGAGGAAAAAACUAGCUCUGAUAUCUGAGGUGAGUGAAGUCUUGACAAACUGUUAUAGAUAUAGAAAUACAGGCUCGAGAUCUAACAAGAAGUUCAAGAAGAACUGGCAAGAACUAGAUUAAUCAGAUGAAUACAAGAACAACACUAGAGAAGUGAGCUAGAGCUCCAAGAG
RNAcentral lists this long non-coding RNA (199 nucleotides) under Physcomitrium patens. RNAcentral describes it as "long non-coding RNA (PPAT_LNC011689)". Lineage: Eukaryota; Viridiplantae; Streptophyta; Bryopsida; Funariales; Funariaceae. The record is from RNAcentral.